UACGGAGGGGACUAGCGUUGUUCGGAAUUACUGGGCGUAAAGCGCGCGUAGGCGGUUUUGUAAGUCAGGGGUGAAAUCCCGGGGCUCAACCCCGGAACUGCCUUUGAUACUGCGAAUCUCGAGUCCGGAAGAGGUGAGUGGAAUUCCUAGUGUAGAGGUGAAAUUCGUAGAUAUCGGGAGGAACACCAGUGGCGAAGGCGACUACCUGGCCUGUUCUUGACGCUGAGGCGCGAAAGCUAGGGGAGCAAACGGG
RNAcentral lists this ribosomal RNA (253 nucleotides) under uncultured bacterium. RNAcentral describes it as "partial 16S ribosomal RNA". It matches the Rfam family "Bacterial small subunit ribosomal RNA", at positions 524 to 776 of the family's 1533-position model. The record is from RNAcentral.